Molecule: long non-coding RNA, 761 nt
Filed under: Meriones unguiculatus (Mongolian gerbil)
Lineage: Eukaryota; Metazoa; Chordata; Mammalia; Rodentia; Muridae
Description: lncRNA (ENSMUGG00000020740.1)
Source: RNAcentral
GUUUCAGAGAACAGUAUCAAGACUCCUACUGAGCAGAGAGAGGGAAGCUGAUACAGAUAAGAAAGGCCAAUGCCCUUCAUAUCUGCUGGCAAAGCCAGUCAAGACAUAUAUAAAUGAGAAGGCCAGCUCAGAACUCAGUCAAGACCCAUCCUGACAAGAUGAAUCCCAUCAGCUUGUUCCUCCUUACAUUACUCCUUGUUCUGGUGACAAAAACAGAAGCGAGGAGACCCCGUGAAAAAUUCUCACAAGAGUCUGAAGAGAGUUCUUCUAGUGCAGCCUCUGAAGUUACUUCAUCGGGGGAAAGCGGGGGAUCAAGUUCUUCCCAGGACGACAACAGCCCAAGUGAUAAGUCAGGGGGUUCCUCCUUUAAAAAAUCAAGCAGCAUGUUCAAGGAGACAGUCUAUGAGGAAAGGAAGAAAAAACAGAGUGGUGGUGACGGUGGUGAUGGUGAUGGUAAGAGUGACUCAGAACUAGAGCGGUCUUAUGUAAGGAGAAAGGAAAAGCAACGGGUUGCACAAGAAGUAGCUAAAUAAUGUGGCUAUGAACCAACUGUCAAGUGGACAAAAGUAAUGGUUACCUGACCGCUCCCAAGGAGUUGCAUAAUCUGCAUGAAGCCUAUGGUAUCUUCAGGAUGGAGACUCCCAUGAGGUUCCAGAGACAGUUUGUGGAUUUCACUCACUUCUCCAUGUUUGUUUUUGAGAUUAAAAACCCAACAUUUGUUAAAAUACCUUCUUUCCAAUAAAAGACUACAUUUUGCAUCA